This 373-nucleotide ribosomal RNA is filed under the name uncultured organism. RNAcentral describes it as "partial 16S ribosomal RNA". It matches the Rfam family "Bacterial small subunit ribosomal RNA", at positions 527 to 896 of the family's 1533-position model. The record is from RNAcentral.
GUAGGUGGCAAGCGUUGUCCGGAAUUAUUGGGCGUAAAGCGCGCGCAGGCGGUUCUUUAAGUCUGAUGUGAAAGCCCACGGGCUCAACCGUGGAGGGUCAUUGGAAACUGGAGGACUUGAGUACAGAAGAGGAAAGCGGAAUUCCACGUGUAGCGGUGAAAUGCGUAGAGAUGUGGAGGAACACCAGUGGCGAAGGCGGCUUUCUGGUCUGUAACUGACGCUGAGGCGCGAAAGCGUGGGGAGCAAACAGGAUUAGAUACCCUGGUAGUCCACGCCGUAAACGAUGAGUGCUAAGUGUUAGGGGGUUUCCGCCCCUUAGUGCUACAGCUAACGCAUUAAGCACUCCGCCUGGGGAGUACGGCCGCAAAGGCUG